GCGGUCGUGGUGGAAUUGGCAGACACGCUAUCUUGAGGGGGUAGUGGCCCUAGGCCGUGUGGGUUCGAGUCCCACCGACCGCACCA
This 86-nucleotide transfer RNA is filed under the name Shimazuella alba. RNAcentral describes it as "Shimazuella sp. KC615 tRNA-Leu". It matches the Rfam family "tRNA". Rfam says of the family: Transfer RNA (tRNA) molecules are approximately 80 nucleotides in length. Their secondary structure includes four short double-helical elements and three loops (D, anti-codon, and T loops). Lineage: Bacteria; Bacillati; Bacillota; Bacilli; Caryophanales; Thermoactinomycetaceae. The record is from RNAcentral.